Molecule: long non-coding RNA, 1431 nt
Organism: Apus apus (common swift)
Lineage: Eukaryota; Metazoa; Chordata; Aves; Apodiformes; Apodidae
Exons: 2
Source: RefSeq, a predicted model, not a curated record
UCCAACGGCACUUCUCCCACUUUCCUGCCUCCCAUAGACCCCUCUCUCCCAUCCCUGCCCCCCAGCUCCUCCCCAGCACCAUUGCCAGGGCCAGCCAUGGCCAUGACAUAGAUCCUCUGACCCACAGCCCUCACCAGCCCAGCCCUGCUCAGCCACCGCAGCGUUCGGGGGAGGGAAGAUCAUCAGCUCCACUGGGAGAGAAAUCUUCUACAAGGAGAAAGAAAAAAGAAACCAGUGACUUGCAGCUCGUUACCUGUGCCAGGCACAAGCAAGGCUGAUGCAGGCUGUGUCAGGUCCCUGGCUCUCCACUGGCCCGGGCUGGGACCUCUCAUCUUCUGACAUCCCAUGAGAGGUGAGGCAAAGUACCCCAAGAUCUAGUCUGGGUGAACAGAGGCAAAAAGCAGCUGACAUCCCUCAUACCUGAGGCAGGUGCCAGGCUCCCUGCCUGCCGUGGCUGCCUGCACCAGCUGGAGAGAAAGCCAAGGCAGAGCCCGUGGUGGGUGUUGACAUCGUGGCUGAUGCUGCAGGACAGAGUUGAAGUCUCACUUGGAGAAAGGCCUGAAGGCACUGCCCAGAGGUAGUCAUUCCUCUACCAGCUGCAGAAAGCAGAAAUCCGAGGUCAGGUUUUAAUGUUGUUAUCUGUGAAGAACAAAAGCAAAGGACAUGGAUCAGUGGGAGAGGGGAUGAAGGCCUGGAGCCAACAGGAUGGCUUGUUCCAAGAGUGAGGUUUGUAUGUGACCCUCACUGGGCAGCCCAAGUACUCCUUUUGUGUAAUAUAUCCAAUCACCAGUGCCUACACCACAGCCAGCCAUCCAAGGCUUCAAGAUCUACUCAGUCCUGCUGGGAUCUGGGCUCCUGGAAAACCCCAGCACUGAGUUUUCCUUUUUAAAAAGCCCAAGCCAAAACUGAAACGUUUCCACAAAAUCAUUUCAUUUUGAUUCCCUGCCUGAUUUAGAAUGUUUCACUUCCCAAACAUACUUUAGAAAUCCCUGAAAGUCCACUUGGAAAUUAAAUGUGAACUUUGGUCUAAUACUGGUGACAACUUUGUUUGUCCAACAUCAGUUCUUUCUGUUGCCCUCAGAGCCCUGCACACCUCGUUAGCUGGUGGGACUACUGACAUGUCAUGGCACAUUAUGAUAUAAUAGGAUGGCAAACUCUGUCAUUUCUUCUAUUUUAAACAUGAUUUUAAAGCUUCUGAUUCGAUUUUCUGCGCUUUUCAUUUCGCAAAUGGGAACAUUUGCAGUGUUUGAGAACCUUAUUGUAGCCAGGCAACAGUUUCAGAUGGUUUUUAUUUCUAAAAUCAGCUGCUACCCUAAUUGGCUCUGGGCUCUUCUCACUUCCUCUCUUUUGGAAGUAUUAGAACAUCUAACUGUUUCAUUAGGCCAGUGAAUGUUAAUGCCUUUGAUUAAUAAAAUAAAGUGAGCAUGUAAA